This 740-nucleotide ribosomal RNA is filed under the name Suillus sp. RT-2012. RNAcentral's name for it is "eukaryotic LSU rRNA". The stretch from base 211 to 365 matches the Rfam family "5.8S ribosomal RNA". The record is from RNAcentral. Lineage: Eukaryota; Fungi; Basidiomycota; Agaricomycetes; Boletales; Suillaceae.
UAAAGAAAUAAUCUCGAGGGCCGAUGGAAAGGAGAGAGGGUUGUAGCUGGCGUAAGCACGUGCACGCCCUCUUUCUCGACCUAGGUCCUUAUGGGCGCGGGGCGACCCGCGUCUUCAUAAGCCCCUUCGUGUAGAAAGUCUAUGAAUGUUUUUAUUAUCAUCGACUCGCGACUUCUAGGAGACGCGAUUCUUUGAGACAAAAGUUAUUACAACUUUCAGCAAUGGAUCUCUUGGCUCUCGCAUCGAUGAAGAACGCAGCGAAUCGCGAUAUGUAAUGUGAAUUGCAGAUCUACAGUGAAUCAUCGAAUCUUUGAACGCACCUUGCGCUUAUCGGUGUUCCGAUGAGCAUGCCUGUUUGAGCGUCAUUAAAUUCUCAACCCCUCUCGAUUUGCUUCGAGAGGGUGCUUGGAUNGUGGAGGCUGCCGGAGACCUGUUUUUUCAGGACUCGGGCUCCUCUGAAAUGUAUUGGCUUGCGGUCGACUUUCGACUGUGCAUGACAAGGCCUUUGGCGUGAUAAUGAUCGCCGCUCGCCGAAGUGCACGAACGAAUGGUCUCGUGCCUCUAAUCAGUCGAUGNCUUUUCGAAGGCGUCUUCCUNAUUGACGUUUGACCUCAAAUCAGGUAGGACUACCCGCUGAACUUAAGCAUAUCAAUAAGCGGAGGAAAAGAAACUAACAAGGAUUCCCCUAGUAACUGCGAGUGAACCGGGAAAAGCUCAAAUUUUGAAUCUGGCGGUCCUUC